RNAcentral lists this microRNA precursor (89 nucleotides) under Canis lupus familiaris (dog). RNAcentral's name for it is "mir-8799 microRNA precursor family". It matches the Rfam family "mir-8799 microRNA precursor family". The record is from Rfam by way of RNAcentral. RNAcentral also lists the same sequence under 1 other name. Lineage: Eukaryota; Metazoa; Chordata; Mammalia; Carnivora; Canidae.
UGGGGGAGGCCAGAUCUUGGGCUGUGUCCCGGCGCCCUGUGCUCCCGGUCUGCGCUUUAGGAUUCGUGCUCCUUGCCGCGCAGCCACCU